CUGUUAAAUUUUUAAUUUUUUUUCGCGCGUAUUUUUACUAUUCCGUUUCACUACCAGGUGGCAUACUUUCGCGCACAUUUUCAACCAAUCAUAGUCAUUUACUUAAACUUCGCAGAUAUCUAACUCAAGAAUACCUUUUCAUUUGUUUCGUGUCUUGUUUACCGGUAACGCAUUUCUUUAAAACGGAAUGUGUGUAAAACUAAAAACUAUGAUUCAUCGAAGCUAUUUGAUUAUCGACAUAAAAAGUGAGAUCCUCGUCGUCAUCGCUGGGGCCACCAGUUGGGCAACAAAGACCCUCUGAGCCAUCGCUUCUUAUACAGAAUAACAAAGUUUCAGCAGGUGUAACUUCGUGUGGCACGAUUCCGUGAAAUUCUUUCAGAUCGGCUGCGGGGAACCACGCUUUCUCGUUAUCCUCGAUUAUGAGUAUUCCAAAAAGUCUAAAUUGAAAAACGAAUGACAAAAAA
This 464-nucleotide unclassified non-coding RNA is filed under the name Bombus terrestris (buff-tailed bumblebee). Its description in RNAcentral is "misc RNA ENSBTSG00005038513.1". Lineage: Eukaryota; Metazoa; Arthropoda; Insecta; Hymenoptera; Apidae. The record is from RNAcentral.